This 259-nucleotide long non-coding RNA is filed under the name Elaeis guineensis (African oil palm). RNAcentral's name for it is "long non-coding RNA (EGUI_LNC046091)". The record is from RNAcentral. Lineage: Eukaryota; Viridiplantae; Streptophyta; Magnoliopsida; Arecales; Arecaceae.
AACCAGGAGGAGGAUCAUCGAUCCUACCGCUAGGUCUCAGAAGCUCCAACUCGUAUGAAGAAGGAAUUUCGUAUUGUAUUCAAAUUAGACUCAGAUCUCCUGAGUCCAACAUGGAUCCGAUGGUGCCAGAUACAAAGGAUGGCCUGACCACAUGCCCGACACCCAGACCUACAGGGUCUCCUCCUGAAGAAGGAGGUGAUCCAGAAGAUCAGUUCUCACUAAAACUCCUGGAACCAACCAUUGGAGGAUGAAGAAAAUG